This 254-nucleotide ribosomal RNA is filed under the name uncultured bacterium. Its description in RNAcentral is "partial 16S ribosomal RNA". It matches the Rfam family "Bacterial small subunit ribosomal RNA", at positions 524 to 776 of the family's 1533-position model. The record is from RNAcentral.
GACGUAGGGCGCGAGCGUUGUCCGGAUUUAUUGGGCGUAAAGAGCUCGUAGGCGGCUUGUCGCGUCGACUGUGAAAACCCGCGGCUCAACCGUGUGGUCUGCAGUCGAUACGGGCAGGCUAGAGUUCGGUAGGGGAGACUGGAAUUCCUGGUGUAGCGGUGAAAUGCGCAGAUAUCAGGAAGAACACCAAUGGCGAAGGCAGCUCUCUGGGACGGUACUGACGCUGAGACGCGAAAGCGUGGGGAGCGAACAGG